CCGGCACCUGUACCCAGCGUUCGCCGGGUGGGAAAAUCAGGCAAGGCGGGAGGCUCUGCACGGUGCUAGGCCUCGACACCCAACACGCCACUCUGAGGUGAUGUCCCGUGAGCAGGACACGUACUGCGUGGCCACGCGGCGGUUCACGCACACGAGAAUCUUCACGAGCUCCAACUGCGAGCUGUUCCUCAGCAGCUCUUCGCACAGCGACUGGAUGAACCAGGAGCCCCUCUCCUCAUUGCGCCACGAGUAGUACCCUGCAGGUGCGAGCCAGAGACAGACACGGCGUGCUCUGGUGCGUGACGUCAUUUAUGGACGGCCCCAAAGCUCGGCAGACCCUCCUGGAAGGAAAGAGUCGUGAGACUCCAGAAGAUCGAGACACCCCGAAUGCGCGCUGUGGGAUGAAGAGGACUGGGAAGCAGUGCAUUACAAUACACUUCUUAGGGAAACGUAUUUGAAUGAUAGGGCAGUUAAAAAAUGUAUAAAUUGUACUGUAACACUAUACGUAUAAAGAUCAUCUAUAUAUAGUAUAUAUGAAUUAUGUUGUUUAAAUGACGUACACAUUCCCGUCGCUGCAAUGAAUAUCUAAGAUGUGAAAUUGACCUCGAGCUAUGAAAGCCACUCAAGACUCUGUCGGUGUGUGUGUCGGUAUGGUAAGUACCUAAAUGCCACAAGAACCCACCGAAAACAACGCUUGAAUGUUCGAGCUCUUGGUGUGGAAGUUCAAGUUGAGUCCGUUGUGUUAGUCCCAGCUGAUGUAUGCUACGAUUGUAUCUGCUGACUUAUUUAUGAUAACGAUUUCUUCGGAUACCGCAUUGCUUGUAAAUAACGUGAACACCCGUGAUAGAAAACUAGUGUAGUCUGGAACAACUAUGUGUUUCAAACAACACGCAGAAAUGUGUCCAAACAAAAAACCGCUCAGCCUCGUAUUUUUAAAAAUUAUCAACAG
Molecule: long non-coding RNA, 949 nt
Organism: Lethenteron reissneri (Far Eastern brook lamprey)
Lineage: Eukaryota; Metazoa; Chordata; Hyperoartia; Petromyzontiformes; Petromyzontidae
Source: RefSeq, a predicted model, not a curated record